GUGGGGAAUUUUGCGCAAUGGACGAAAGUCUGACGCAGCAACGCCGCGUGUGUGAUGAAGGUUUUCGGAUCGUAAAGCACUUUCGUCCGGGAAGAAAAAACAGGUCCUAAUCAGCCUGCAUUGACGGUACCGGAAGAAGAAGCACCGGCUAACUCUGUGCCAGCAGCCGCGGUAAUACAGAGGGUGCAAGCGUUGUUCGGAAUUAUUGGGCGUAAAGCGCGUGUAGGCGGCAUGGCAAGUCGGGUGUGAAAGCCCUCAGCUCAACUGAGGAAGUGCGCCCGAAACUGCUGCGCUUGAGUACCGGAGAGGGUGGCGGAAUUCCCCAAGUAGAGGUGAAAUUCGUAGAUAUGGGGAGGAACACCGGUGGCGAAGGCGGCCACCUGGACGGUCACUGACGCUGAGACGCGAAAGCGUGGGUAGCAAACAGGAUUAGAUACCCCAGUAGUCC
RNAcentral lists this ribosomal RNA (448 nucleotides) under uncultured bacterium. RNAcentral's name for it is "bacterial SSU rRNA". It matches the Rfam family "Bacterial small subunit ribosomal RNA", at positions 354 to 796 of the family's 1533-position model. The record is from RNAcentral.